RNAcentral lists this ribosomal RNA (425 nucleotides) under uncultured bacterium. RNAcentral's name for it is "partial 16S ribosomal RNA". It matches the Rfam family "Bacterial small subunit ribosomal RNA", at positions 354 to 796 of the family's 1533-position model. The record is from RNAcentral.
GUAGGGAAUAUUGGACAAUGGGCGAAAGCCUGAUCCAGCAAUGCCGCGUGAGUGAUGAAGGCCUUAGGGUUGUAAAGCUCUUUUACCAGGGAUGAUAAUGACAGUACCUGGAGAAUAAGCUCCGGCUAACUCCGUGCCAGCAGCCGCGGUAAUACGGAGGGAGCUAGCGUUGUUCGGAAUUACUGGGCGUAAAGCGCGCGUAGGCGGCGAUUUAAGUCAGAGGUGAAAGCCCGGGGCUCAACCCCGGAAUAGCCUUUGAGACUGGAUUGCUAGAAUCCUGGAGAGGUGAGUGGAAUUCCGAGUGUAGAGGUGAAAUUCGUAGAUAUUCGGAAGAACACCAGUGGCGAAGGCGGCUCACUGGCUCGAUACUGACGCUGAGGUGCGAAAGCGUGGGGAGCAAACAGGAUUAGAUACCCCGGUAGUCC